Non-coding RNA from Paramuricea clavata, 73 nucleotides. Lineage: Eukaryota; Metazoa; Cnidaria; Anthozoa; Malacalcyonacea; Plexauridae. The record is from the annotation of a GenBank genome assembly.
AACCGCGUAGCUCAGUUGGCAGAGCAUUGGGCUAGUAUUCCAAAGGUCGUAGGUUCGAUUCCCACCGUGGACA